UUACGGCCAUAUCACGUUGAAACACCGAUUCUCUUACGAUCACCGAAGUUAAGAAACCUCAAGUCUGGUUAGUACCUAGAUGGGUAACCGUUUGGUAAAUCCAGGGGCU
This is a non-coding RNA of Acanthosepion pharaonis, 109 nucleotides long. NCBI's taxonomy places the organism in Eukaryota, Metazoa, Mollusca, Cephalopoda, Sepiida, Sepiidae. The record is from the annotation of a GenBank genome assembly.